Molecule: non-coding RNA, 493 nt
Organism: Dermacentor andersoni
Lineage: Eukaryota; Metazoa; Arthropoda; Arachnida; Ixodida; Ixodidae
Source: RefSeq, a predicted model, not a curated record
UGCAGUCGUCCUAGAUAACAGGACCGCUCAGCCAGAGAAGAAACCAAUCUCCACUGCGCAGCAGGCAAAGCAGGCAUUAUGAAUUUUGAACAAGUUACGCCAAAAAUUUCAUUGGCCGCUUUACGCGCUUUAAAUGAAUUAAACAACAAGCAUGGUAUUCAUAUAAUCUACAAUGCGGAAAGAACCGUGAACAACAAAGAAGAAAAAACCUGUAUAAAGCCUUUUCCAGGAUACAACAUACAGCACUUGGUGCGCUUCGUGAAACCUCAGAAAAGGUGUGGAGCGAGUGCAUUCGCCACUACUACACGUUCUGCACUCCCCCGGUGGUCAUGUUCAACUACGACACGAAACAGAGUGCGUGCGUUCCAACAACAGCGGUCAGCUAUGCAACCACGGCGCCAACCUAUUCGGUAGCAAGAAACCGUGACUGGGGAACUGCUUGCAGCCCAACCGUGUCUACGGCAUGUUCUUCGGGAAGGCCCUCUUGCAGUCG